Molecule: small nucleolar RNA, 131 nt
Organism: Mus pahari (shrew mouse)
Lineage: Eukaryota; Metazoa; Chordata; Mammalia; Rodentia; Muridae
Product: small nucleolar RNA SNORA17
Exons: 1
Source: RefSeq, a predicted model, not a curated record
CUUGCCCCAAAGGCAUUACAAGUGUAACUGCUGUGCCACAUGUGUGUCAGUAGGUGGCAGAGAGGAGAGAGUCUAUGUCUACUUUCAGUGUUCUGACCUAUGAAUAUUAUAAUGAUUAGUAGCCUAACAUU